RNAcentral lists this ribosomal RNA (851 nucleotides) under Aculops sp. AH7_1. RNAcentral's name for it is "partial large subunit ribosomal RNA". It matches the Rfam family "Eukaryotic large subunit ribosomal RNA", at positions 366 to 944 of the family's 3401-position model. Lineage: Eukaryota; Metazoa; Arthropoda; Arachnida; Trombidiformes; Eriophyidae. The record is from RNAcentral.
AAAUAGAACUUUGCAGAGAGAGUUAACAGGGCGUGAAACCGUUAAUUGGCAAACGAAUCGGAGCCACGAAGUCGUUUCGUUGUUAAGUUGGGCCAGGUUCAGUUGGUUAGAGAUAACCGGCGUAUUCCUAGGCUCGGCCACAUUGUAAACGUACACUGCAACCAGUUAGACAAUUGGUCAUGGGCCAAGCUUUAUUAGUGGGGUUAGUUUCAGCUUGGCGCGCUUCGGUGCGUUUGAGUUGUUGGGCUCCAUUGGGUGAACUAUGACCAAAUACUGACUGGCAAAAUUAAAAUCGCAUUCGCGUUUUAUAGAAAGCGGCAGUUGAGACUAGUAGCUACAUGCUUGACCAUGGGGUCUAAGCUCAGCAGUUUUGAAUUUGGACUUUCUCGCUACCAAUGGGGCAACUCUUGGUGCUUGUUUAGCUUCCAUCUAAUCGGCUGUUGACUUGGCUCUGUGUAGUUUGAGUAUGCUACGAUUGGUUGCUAGUUUUAGAUUGUUCGCAAUCAUUGGCAGUGAGUAGGUCGGCUUUCCGAACGACCCGUCUUGAAACACGGACCAAGGAGUCUAAUUAGGCAUCAAGUCGAUCGGUCUUGAAUAGGCCAGUAAGGCGUAGAGACAAUCAUGUGAUUUGUGGGCAACAACAGCCCGCCAACGCAACAUGUGCCUGCUCGUAUGGCAAUUGUAGCAAUAAUUGCUGGGCGGAGUAAAGAGAUGCCUGAUUGGUACCCGAAAGAUGGUGAUGCUUGGGCAAAUUGAAGCCAGAGGAAACUCUGGUGGAGGAUUGUAGCGAUUCUGACGUGCAAAUCGAUCGUCAGACCUGAGUAUAGGGGCGAAAGACUAAUCGAACCAUC